This 887-nucleotide ribosomal RNA is filed under the name Staphylococcus aureus. RNAcentral's name for it is "partial 23S ribosomal RNA". It matches the Rfam family "Bacterial large subunit ribosomal RNA", at positions 553 to 1447 of the family's 2925-position model. The record is from RNAcentral. Lineage: Bacteria; Bacillati; Bacillota; Bacilli; Caryophanales; Staphylococcaceae.
AAACCGUGUGCUUACAAGUAGUCAGAGCCCGUUAAUGGGUGAUGGCGUGCCUUUUGUAGAAUGAACCGGCGAGUUACGAUUUGAUGCAAGGUUAAGCAGUAAAUGUGGAGCCGUAGCGAAAGCGAGUCUGAAUAGGGCGUUUAGUAUUUGGUCGUAGACCCGAAACCAGGUGAUCUACCCUUGGUCAGGUUGAAGUUCAGGUAACACUGAAUGGAGGACCGAACCGACUUACGUUGAAAAGUGAGCGGAUGAACUGAGGGUAGCGGAGAAAUUCCAAUCGAACCUGGAGAUAGCUGGUUCUCUCCGAAAUAGCUUUAGGGCUAGCCUCAAGUGAUGAUUAUUGGAGGUAGAGCACUGUUUGGACGAGGGGCCCCUCUCGGGUUACCGAAUUCAGACAAACUCCGAAUGCCAAUUAAUUUAACUUGGGAGUCAGAACAUGGGUGAUAAGGUCCGUGUUCGAAAGGGAAACAGCCCAGACCACCAGCUAAGGUCCCAAAAUAUAUGUUAAGUGGAAAAGGAUGUGGCGUUGCCCAGACAACUAGGAUGUUGGCUUAGAAGCAGCCAUCAUUUAAAGAGUGCGUAAUAGCUCACUAGUCGAGUGACACUGCGCCGAAAAUGUACCGGGGCUAAACAUAUUACCGAAGCUGUGGAUUGUCCUUUGGACAAUGGUAGGAGAGCGUUCUAAGGGCGUUGAAGCAUGAUCGUAAGGACAUGUGGAGCGCUUAGAAGUGAGAAUGCCGGUGUGAGUAGCGAAAGACGGGUGAGAAUCCCGUCCACCGAUUGACUAAGGUUUCCAGAGGAAGGCUCGUCCGCUCUGGGUUAGUCGGGUCCUAAGCUGAGGCCGACAGGCGUAGGCGAUGGAUAACAGGUUGAUAUUCCUGUACCAC